AAGCAGCUUGCUGCUUUGCUGACGAGUGGCGGACGGGUGAGUAAUGUCUGGGAAACUGCCUGAUGGAGGGGGAUAACUACUGGAAACGGUGGCUAAUACCGCAUAACGUCGCAAGACCAAAGAGGGGGACCUUCGGGCCUCUUGCCAUCAGAUGUGCCCAGAUGGGAUUAGCUUGUUGGUGAGGUAACGGCUCACCAAGGCGACGAUCCCUAGCUGGUCUGAGAGGAUGACCAGCCACACUGGAACUGAGACACGGUCCAGACUCCUACGGGAGGCAGCAGUGGGGAAUAUUGCACAAUGGGCGCAAGCCUGAUGCAGCCAUGCCGCGUGUAUGAAGAAGGCCUUCGGGUUGUAAAGUACUUUCAGCGGGGAGGAAGGUGUUGUGGUUAAUAACCGCAGCAAUUGACGUUACCCGCAGAAGAAGCACCGGCUAACUCCGUGCCAGCAGCCGCGGUAAUACGGAGGGUGCAAGCGUUAAUCGGAAUUACUGGGCGUAAAGCGCACGCAGGCGGUCUGUCAAGUCGGAUGUGAAAUCCCCGGGCUCAACCUGGGAACUGCAUUCGAAACUGGCAGGCUUGAGUCUUGUAGAGGGGGGUAGAAUUCCAGGUGUAGCGGUGAAAUGCGUAGAGAUCUGGAGGAAUACCGGUGGCGAAGGCGGCCCCCUGGACAAAGACUGACGCUCAGGUGCGAAAGCGUGGGGAGCAAACAGGAUUAGAUACCCUGGUAGUCCACGCCGUAAACGAUGUCUACUUGGAGGUUGUGCCCUUGAGGCGUGGCUUCCGGAGCUAACGCGUUAAGUAGACCGCCUGGGGAGUACGGCCGCAAGGUUAAAACUCAAAUGAAUUGACGGGGGCCCGCACAAGCGGUGGAGCAUGUGGUUUAAUUCGAUGCAACGCGAAGAACCUUACCUGGUCUUGACAUCCACAGAAGAAUCCAGAGAUGGAUUUGUGCCUUCGGGAACUGUGAGACAGGUGCUGCAUGGCUGUCGUCAGCUCGUGUUGUGAAAUGUUGGGUUAAGUCCCGCAACGAGCGCAACCCUUAUCCUUUGUUGCCAGCGGUUAGGCCGGGAACUCAAAGGAGACUGCCAGUGAUAAACUGGAGGAAGGUGGGGAUGACGUCAAGUCAUCAUGGCCCUUACGACCAGGGCUACACACGUGCUACAAUGGCGCAUACAAAGAGAAGCGACCUCGCGAGAGCAAGCGGACCUCAUAAAGUGCGUCGUAGUCCGGAUUGGAGUCUGCAACUCGACUCCAUGAAGUCGGAAUCGCUAGUAAUCGUGGAUCAGAAUGCCACGGUGAAUACGUUCCCGGGCCUUGUACACACCGCCCGUCACACCAUGGGAGUGGGUUGCAAAAGAAGUAGGUAGCUUAACCUUCGGGAGGGCGCUUACCACUUUGUGAUUCAUGACUGGGGUGAAGUCGUAACAAGGUAACCGUAGGGGAACCUGCGGUUGGAUCACCUCCUUACCUUAAAGAA
This 1476-nucleotide ribosomal RNA is filed under the name Salmonella enterica subsp. enterica serovar Enteritidis. RNAcentral's name for it is "bacterial SSU rRNA". It matches the Rfam family "Bacterial small subunit ribosomal RNA". The record is from RNAcentral. Lineage: Bacteria; Pseudomonadati; Pseudomonadota; Gammaproteobacteria; Enterobacterales; Enterobacteriaceae.